GGAGAAAGAGAGACCGAGAGAAAAGUGAGACAGAAAAAUAGAGAGGCAGAGAACGGAGAAGGAGAGAGAGAUCGAGAGAUCAAAAACUGCAGUUUGCAAUCAAGAAUGAAAAGAUGUCUCUCACUUCCUGUUAGAUUUUCUGCCAUCACCGUAAGCCUCCACUCGCUACCCAACCAUCGGAAUCACUACUGAUUGGUAUUUUGGGUCAGAUUUGGUUUUGAUUAAGGGAUACGAAGAUAGAGGAACCAAGCAGAGUUCGUAGCGAUACAGAGAAAGGGAAGGAGACAAAAAAAAAAGUUUGCGGCGCAGUGGAGAUUCGACUGAAACUGAAAGGUCAAGAAGGAUUCCCCAAAUUUUCUUUUGUUGGAUUUAUAUUUUGGGUUAGAAUCCAAUCCUACUUUUAAUUUUGAUUUUAGGUUUUUGAAUGUUUUGGUAGAUAUUUAGAUUCCAAAAACAGCGAUUGAUAGAGAUCAUAAGGCAGAGAGAGAAACAUUUGAGGACUGCCAUUACCGCCAUUCUGGCCUUCCACAAUCAUGAUUCAUCCGGUCUCUCGCUGACUUGCUAUCAGCAAGUUUCGAUUUUGUAAAACAUUUUUUACUUUUUGAGAAAGAAAUUGGCGUUAAAUAUUAUUUAGGCUUGGGAUUGUUUUUGCUAUACGUAUUUGGCUGAGAUUAAGGUAUUUUGAUUAUUUUGCUUUGAUUGUUUGUGCUUAAACCUUAUGACUGACAACCUUUUGCUGUUUACAUAUAAAGAAACCGAAACAUUUAGAAUCAACAUUAAGAGAAAGUUGGUAACUGUAAGUCACGCACAAAGACGAAGAGAUGGACAGCGAGAAAGAGGAAACAGAGUAUUCCCACCCAUUGGCAGGUAACUAUUGACUGUCAUUCACAUGGGCAACAAAGCUCUACAUCAACUUUGACAUUUCAAACAAAGCUCUACAUCAACUUUGACAUUUCAAAAGUCACAAAGGAAAUUAUGCCAAAAGGACCUCCUAAAGGAUUGGAUGGAUAACUUUCUUACAUAAUAGAAAAAUAGUUGCUAAAAUAGAAGACUUGGAUGCAUAAAAAAUGUUUAAGAAUUAUGCACCAAGUUCUAUUCCUUAUACCCUUUUCUUAUUUACUUAGUUUUCUGUUUUAUUUCAGAUUAUGAGAGAUUUAAAUUUCUGUAUUUAGGCUAUGGUUUUGUAAUCUAAGCAUCCUAAGAUUCUUAUAUCAACAUGAAUUUAAGUUUUGUAAUAUAUGUGAUUCUAAUUU
Quercus lobata is the source of this 1253-nucleotide long non-coding RNA. RefSeq lists it as uncharacterized. The record is from RefSeq and is a predicted model, not a curated record. The transcript is spliced from 3 exons. NCBI's taxonomy places the organism in Eukaryota, Viridiplantae, Streptophyta, Magnoliopsida, Fagales, Fagaceae.